UGCUGGCAAAAUUGGGAAGUCUGAAAUGACAAAAGAGCAGCAUAUUGUCCAGCUAAGCAAGGCCAGGCCUGGUUAGUAUGUGGAUGGGAGACUGCUGGGAAAAUCAGGUGCCACAGUGG
RNAcentral lists this ribosomal RNA (119 nucleotides) under Periophthalmus magnuspinnatus. Lineage: Eukaryota; Metazoa; Chordata; Actinopteri; Gobiiformes; Gobiidae. The record is from RNAcentral.